RNAcentral lists this ribosomal RNA (474 nucleotides) under uncultured Entrophospora. RNAcentral describes it as "SSU rRNA". It matches the Rfam family "Eukaryotic small subunit ribosomal RNA", at positions 569 to 1041 of the family's 1831-position model. The record is from RNAcentral. Lineage: Eukaryota; Fungi; Glomeromycota; Glomeromycetes; Entrophosporales; Entrophosporaceae.
AGCAGCCGCGGUAAUUCCAGCUCCAAUAGCGUAUAUUAAAGUUGUUGCAGUUAAAAAGCUCGUAGUUGAAUUUCGGGAUUGACGUGAUGGUCGUGCCUUAAGGGGUAUGAACUGUUGCUGUUGAUUUCUCACCUUCUGGAGAAACUUGAUGCCCUUAAUUGGGUGUCUUGCGGAUCCAGGACCUUUACCUUGAAAAAAUUAGAGUGUUUAAAGCAGGCAUUUUGCUCGAAUACAUUAGCAUGGAAUAAUAGAAUAGGACGGCAUGGUUCUAUUUUGUUGGUUUCUAGGAUCACCGUAAUGAUUAAUAGGGAUAGUUGGGGGCAUUAGUAUUCAAUUGUCAGAGGUGAAAUUCUUGGAUUUAUUGAAGACUAACUACUGCGAAAGCAUUUGCCAAGGAUGUUUUCAUUAAUCAAGAACGAAAGUUAGGGGAUCGAAGACGAUCAGAUACCGUCGUAGUCUUAACCAUAAACUAUG